Molecule: long non-coding RNA, 925 nt
Organism: Dreissena polymorpha
Lineage: Eukaryota; Metazoa; Mollusca; Bivalvia; Myida; Dreissenidae
Exons: 2
Source: RefSeq, a predicted model, not a curated record
CAGAACAUUUCUCCGAACAAAUAGUCCAUUUCACAUUUGAAGCCCGAAUAUAUAAUCAGCAAUUAUACAAUGACGCCUGAUAGCGCCGGUUUUUUAAAGAAACAAUAUGUUAAUAUUUAUAUUGAUAAAUUUACAGGAAGCAAUUAUCUCUUCUUAUUAAUUAUGGCUUCGUCGCUGACACUUCUGGCACUGUUGUGCUACUUGGGGAAGAGAUUUGAUUGGCGCGUUCAGGCAUCGGCUGCGAUGAGAACCUUGCGUCACAAAUUUAAGCGCAUGUGGAAAGAGUGGAGACAGCACGGUAAGCCAACGUAUGAGAAGAUUAAGAAGGUAAACGAGGACUACAAAAAUGAUGUUUGCCAAAACAGCGAUCUGAGGCAACCGUUGAUUGAGAAUCAGGAUAUUUAUAUGUAAUAUCCAGUACGAAUGCGUGCUAGAAGCUGAUUGGCCAGUACCGACUCAUAGUUGGGAGAUUUGUUGUGUUGCCUUUAUUUUUUCAGCUAUUUUCAUGUGUAUAGUUCUUGCGAUCAAAAACGUUUUUCAUAGGAAAAAAACAACACUGACAGACAAUAACCAUUUGUAAUAAAGAUACAUUGCCGUGAUAAAUAUGUUGAAUUCCAUACUUUUAAUUUUGCUUUUAUUAUGGUUGUCAUCAAAUUCAAAUUGUCUGUAGUUACAUUUGAAAAAAAAAGUUUUAUGCUGUAGUGAAAUGGUUUGCAUUUAGAGAUAACGACUAAAUAUUUUGGUUGAUUAUUAGAAAAACUCAUUGAACAAUAAAAAUGUACCUAUCUCCACAAUUAAUUCGCAUUAACGUUAGAUAUCGAAUGCGUUUUGUAAUCAUGCGCUUUGUGUUAAUAUUUAAUGUGUUUGAUUGUUUCUUGUUUUUCUCUACGACAGUUGUUUUAAUAAAUCAUGAGUGAAAGAGAAA